This 340-nucleotide ribosomal RNA is filed under the name uncultured bacterium. RNAcentral's name for it is "bacterial SSU rRNA". It matches the Rfam family "Archaeal small subunit ribosomal RNA", at positions 745 to 1084 of the family's 1478-position model. The record is from RNAcentral.
UCCACGGUGUAAACGCUGCGGGCUUGGUGUUGGGGAUCCUACGAGGGUGUCCAGUGCCGGAGAGAAGUUGUUAAGCCCGCCGCCUGGGGAGUACGAUCGCAAGAUUGAAACUUAAAGGAAUUGGCGGGGGAGCACUGCAACGGGUGGAGCGUGCGGUUCAAUUGGAUUCAACGCCGGAAAACUCACCAGGAGCGACUGUUACAUGAAGGUCAAGCUGAUGACUUUACCUAAUUUUCAGAGAGGUGGUGCAUGGCCGCCGCCAGUUCGUACCGCAAGGCGUUCUGUUAAGUCAGAUAACGAACGAGACCCCCAUCCUUAAUUGCCAUCCUGCCCUCCGGGG